GUCCGACAGAGCAUACACACAAAAACAUGAAUCCUGUGAAGCUUGUGAAAUGGAGCAGUGGGGGUCCAAACUCCACACACAACAUGAAGAGGAAAAGAGAAAGAGAAGCUGCUUCUUUGUUGGACCUGUUAUGGGAUUUUGUUCUAAUAGAUUUAUGACUAUAUAAUACUUAACAUAAUAUAAUAUAUAUGUGCAAUACAAAAACGUUGUUAUUUUCGGUAAAACCUAGUGUCCAUACUUUUAAUUACUGGUUCAUGCAAGUGGAGAUAUAUUCUAGUUUUUCGCAAAACUUUGGCGAGAUUUUAUAAAUAUCGAUGAAAAAUAAAACGUUUCCUUUAACUGAUGUUAUGCGACUAAAACGUAACCUUUUGCCUGUUUUUGCCUUCUUUGUGAAAUUGAGGCGUUUCCAUCAGGUGUGUUUUGCGCAGUUUGAAGGGUAAUCUAAAAACACCUUUAAAUAUGUUUCAUGUAAUGUCAUGCAGUUUCGUACAUAAACCUCAUCCUCGGAGGAUUGUGUCUCUCCUGAUUAAACUACAGAUCAGAAAACACACAAACACGUGAUAAAAAAAACUGAUGAACGCUGGGAAAAAAUAGCAUUUAGUGGAAAACAAAAACUUUUAUUUUAUAUACAUUUUAUAUACAUUUUUUUAUGUUUUGCUGUCUGGAUGGCAGCAUAACUUUGAGACUAUCUUAAACAAGAAGUAUGUAAGUCUUAAUCUUUUUCUUUAAUGUGAUUUAUAUACCCCUCUCUUGUUCCCUGAAGUAGUUUUUUUCCCUCUCUUCUUGUAAUUUUUUUAUUUAUUUGUUCUACAUUGUAACAGUUUUUUUCUUUGUCUGUAUAAUGUUCUUCAUAAAAAUAAAAAAAAACCAUGAACACACCAGCUGUGGGUGUGGCCAUCACCUGAUCACCUGACCACACAGCUUCACUCUGAUUGGUUCAGGUUUCCUGUAUAAUGCACGCAGAAGGUGAAAGCACACACUCUCAGACUCACACUGACUGGACACACAGCUCAAGCUGUCUUACAGAAACUGAUCUCUCAGAUGUUCAGCAUGACUUUCUCAUAUUAAUAAUCAUGAGAUCUGCCCUGGAUAUCACUGCAAGUCUCUCAUCACAGUUUGACUCCAGAGAAGAGAUGAAAUGAUGAAACUGAUGAAGACUGAAGAGAGAGAGAGAUGAAAACACAAACCAGUGAACACCUCAAUCUUGUGAGAUGCUGGAGCUUGAAUGAUAUUAGACUGAACUUCUCUGCUGAUCCACACACAGCUGUGAAGAGAAACACACGUCAGGAAAGAGACUGAUUCAUCAUAAAUCGAUGGAAACAAAGUUACACUUCAGACCAAACUGAGGUUUCUAUCCGUUUUAAACAUUCUUAAAUCAAGAUGCAUUUACUGAAUAAUGUAUCAAUAUUGAGUGAGUUUAUUAUUUUAAGAAAAUAACAAAUAUCUGGGGUCAGAAAAAUAAACUGGUUUCCCUUUGUGAAGUAGAUUAUUUUUUUCUGAUUGUCAGAUAUUUCUUUAAAUCAUGAACUCACUUAAUAUAGACACAUUGUUCAGAAGUAAACAUUUAAAAUGUCAUUUUGCUCCUCACUGUGAUUUAAAGAUGUUUAGAUGUUUAUACUUUAUAAAAAAUACUGAGGAAGAAAGUAAUGUUUGUAGUAUGGAAGUGCAUUAUAUUUCAGAUGAUUAAUAUAAUUUGAGCAGAUUUUCCUUGCAUUGUAAUCCGUAUGAUCACAACAUAUCACUGCCUUAAUUGUUCGUUUUCUUCUUGAUUUGAAUGCGUGUCAUUUCUUCACUAUGUGAUUUGCAUUAUCAAUGGACAUUACUUUAACAGACAUCUCUCAUAACUGUAAUGUAGAAACAUGCAUCUCGUCUCAAUCUACACUUUGAAAUGACGAAGCGCUAAUAAUUCUGGCAGCUAUAAUGGUUUCAGAUGAUGCAUGGUUUCAGUCAGCAAUGAUGAAUGUGACUGUAAUAAUGGAUUUGAUGAAGACGGCACACUGCAGUCUGUUCUGGACUCUGCAGAUCCUGAAACCAUCUGUAUUUGUGAUGCAUUUCUGUUCUUGUGACGUUUACUGUGUCUUCUGCGUUUGACCUCAUAUUGCUGUUUGCACAUUUUUGUAUCAUAUUUUUGUUCUAAAUCUAAGCUAUUUAAAGUAUUACUUUGUCAUAUAGCACAGAUUAACUUCCAUCUGUUAUGUCUUUUACGUUUUAAUAAGAUGUAAGCACAAUACAAUGCAGAAUUUAUCAUUCAUGUUACUGAUGUUUUCUGUAAUAUACACUUGUAUUGUUUUUGUGAAUCAUGUAUUUUAAACUUGUACUGUAAUAGCACUGGACUGAAAGCUCAGUGUUGAUUCAGCAUUAAAAGUGCAUCCUGGAGAUGCAGACACACUUUAUUCAAAUAAAAUCCAUGAAACAA
Molecule: long non-coding RNA, 2416 nt
Organism: Carassius gibelio (silver crucian carp)
Lineage: Eukaryota; Metazoa; Chordata; Actinopteri; Cypriniformes; Cyprinidae
Exons: 4
Source: RefSeq, a predicted model, not a curated record